UCUUUCUCUUUUCCUUUCUGCCACAGCACCCCCGGAGGCAGAAACUGCAGGUCUUGAUGAAGAGAAAUACGAGAAGCAGAACAAUGGCGAGGAGGAAGGCCAGGACAUCCAAGCUGUGAUACUGGUACCAGCCCUCAAGACGAUCUGUUGUCGAUGUAGAGCCCCAAACUCUGUGACACAAACUGGCAAACAUCUGUAAGGAGGAGUGUAAAAACAACAAUGGAAAAGGUGUUUCAUGGAAAGCUGCAUGUCCAUGAUUCCCUCAGCCUGGAUGGGUCCAUGUUUAUCGUCUCCAGACCUCUGUCAGAAACGAGCUGUCCUGGGGUCUACUCCUUGAAUUGUGAAAUACACCUCCGCAGGCAGAAACUGCAGGUCUUGAUGACAAGAAAUACGAAGAGCAGAACAAUGGCGAGGAGGAAGGCCAGGACAUCCAAGCUGUGAUACUGGUACCAGCCCUCAAGACGAUCUGUUGUCGAUGUAGAGCCCCAAACUCUGUGACACAAACUGGCAAACAUCUGUAAGGAGGAGUGUAAAAACAACAAUGGAAAAGGUGUUUCAUGGAAAGCUGCAUGUCCAUGAUUCCCUCAGCCUGGAUGGGUCCAUGUUUAUCGUCUCCAGACCUCUGUCAGAAACGAGCUGUCCUGGGGUCUACUCCUUGAAUUGUGAAAUACACCUCCGGAGGCAGAAACUGCAGGUCUUGAUGACAAGAAAUAUGAGGAGCAGAACAAUGGCGAGGAGGAAGGCCAGGACAUCCAAGCAGUGAUACUGGUACCAGGCCUCGGAGCUGUCACAGCUGGAUCCAGGUGACGGGACUUCUGUGUCGCUGGUCAUAGCCCAGGGGUGCGGAGGGGAGUGCAGCUGCUCCAUAUUCCCUCUGAGAAAGGUGAGCAGUGCGG
Epinephelus moara (kelp grouper) is the source of this 896-nucleotide long non-coding RNA. RefSeq lists it as uncharacterized. The transcript is spliced from 8 exons. Lineage: Eukaryota; Metazoa; Chordata; Actinopteri; Perciformes; Serranidae. The record is from RefSeq and is a predicted model, not a curated record.